RNAcentral lists this ribosomal RNA (474 nucleotides) under Hemisquilla ensigera. Its description in RNAcentral is "partial 16S ribosomal RNA". It matches the Rfam family "Bacterial large subunit ribosomal RNA", at positions 1849 to 2566 of the family's 2925-position model. The record is from RNAcentral. Lineage: Eukaryota; Metazoa; Arthropoda; Malacostraca; Stomatopoda; Hemisquillidae.
AUAGUCUGGCCUGCCCACUGAUAAUAUAAUUAAAGGGCCGCGGUAUUCUGACCGUGCGAAGGUAGCAUAAUAAUUAGUCUCCUAAUUAGAGGCUUGUAUGAAUGGUCGGACAAGAUGGGAACUGUCUCGGUGCGAAAAAUAAAAUUUAACAUUUAAGUAAAAAGGCUUAAAUAAUAUGGGGGGACGAUAAGACCCUAUAAAGCUUUAUGAUAAGGCCUUUUUGUAAAGAAUUUCUAUUGUGAAAUUACUAGAAGGUUUAUAUCAUUUUACUGGGGCGGUAAAAGUAUAUAAUUGAAUAACUGCUUUUAUUAUUGAAAACAAUUAUAAUUGAAAUACAAAAUGAUCCAUUAUUAAUGAUUAUAAAAACAAGUUACUUUAGGGAUAACAGCGUAAUAUUUCUUGAGAGUCCUUAUCGAAAGAAAAGUUUGCGACCUCGAUGUUGAAUUAAGGGUAGCGUUAAGGCGCAGCAUCUUA